RNAcentral lists this ribosomal RNA (561 nucleotides) under Streptosporangium sp. 331E11. RNAcentral describes it as "bacterial SSU rRNA". It matches the Rfam family "Bacterial small subunit ribosomal RNA", at positions 93 to 671 of the family's 1533-position model. Lineage: Bacteria; Bacillati; Actinomycetota; Actinomycetes; Streptosporangiales; Streptosporangiaceae. The record is from RNAcentral.
GAGCGGCGAACGGGUGAGUAACACGUGAGUAACCUGCCCCUGACUCUGGGAUAAGCCCGGGAAACUGGGUCUAAUACCGGAUAUGACACACUGGUGGCAUNGCCUGNGUGUGGAAAGUUUUUCGGUUGGGGAUGGACUCGCGGCCUAUCAGCUUGUUGGUGGGGUAAUGGCCUACCAAGGCGACGACGGGUAGCCGGCCUGAGAGGGCGACCGGCCACACUGGGACUGAGACACGGCCCAGACUCCUACGGGAGGCAGCAGUGGGGAAUAUUGCGCAAUGGGCGAAAGCCUGACGCAGCGACGCCGCGUGGGGGAUGACGGCCUUCGGGUUGUAAACCUCUUUCAGCAGGGACGAAGUUGACGUGUACCUGCAGAAGAAGCGCCGGCUAACUACGUGCCAGCAGCCGCGGUAAUACGUAGGGCGCAAGCGUUGUCCGGAAUUAUUGGGCGUAAAGAGCUCGUAGGUGGCUUGUCACGUCGGGUGUGAAAGCUUGGGGCUUAACUCCAGGUCUGCAUUCGAUACGGGCUGGCUAGAGGUAGGUAGGGGAGAACGGAAUUCCU